RNAcentral lists this ribosomal RNA (585 nucleotides) under Qipengyuania citrea. Its description in RNAcentral is "bacterial SSU rRNA". It matches the Rfam family "Bacterial small subunit ribosomal RNA", at positions 724 to 1312 of the family's 1533-position model. Lineage: Bacteria; Pseudomonadati; Pseudomonadota; Alphaproteobacteria; Sphingomonadales; Erythrobacteraceae. The record is from RNAcentral.
ACUCACUGGACAGUUAUUGACGCUGAGGUGGAAAGCGUGGGAGCAAACAGGAUUAGAUACCCUGGUAGUCCACGCCGUAAACGAUGAUAACUAGCUGUCCGGGCUCAUGGAGCUUGGGUGGCGCAGCUAACGCAUUAAGUUAUCCGCCUGGGGAGUACGGUCGCAAGAUUAAACUCAAAGGAAUUGACGGGGGCCUGCACAAGCGGUGGAGCAUGUGGUUUAAUUCGAAGCAACGCGCAGAACCUUACCAGCCUUUGACAUCUUAGGACGACUUCUGGAGACAGAUUUCUUCCCUUCGGGGACCUAGUGACAGGUGCUGCAUGGCGGUCGUCAGCUCGUGUCGUGAGAUGUUGGGUUAAGUCCCGCAACGAGCGCAACCCUCGUCCUUAGUUGCCAUCAUUUAGUUGGGCACUUUAAGGAAACUGCCGGUGAUAAGCCGGAGGAAGGUGGGGAUGACGUCAAGUCCUCAUGGCCCUUACAGGCUGGGCUACACACGUGCUACAAUGGCAUCUACAGUGAGCAGCGAUCCCGCGAGGGUUAGCUAAUCUCCAAAAGAUGUCUCAGUUCGGAUUGUUCUCUGCAACU